This 250-nucleotide ribosomal RNA is filed under the name uncultured bacterium. Its description in RNAcentral is "partial 16S ribosomal RNA". It matches the Rfam family "Bacterial small subunit ribosomal RNA", at positions 524 to 773 of the family's 1533-position model. The record is from RNAcentral.
UACGGAGGGGGCUAGCGUUGUUCGGAAUUACUGGGCGUAAAGCGCACGUAGGCGGCUUUGUAAGUUAGAGGUGAAAGCCCAGGGCUCAACCCUGGAACUGCCUUUAAGACUGCAUCGCUUGAACACGGGAGAGGUGAGUGGAAUUCCGAGUGUAGAGGUGAAAUUCGUAGAUAUUCGGAAGAACACCAGUGGCGAAGGCGACUCACUGGACCGUUGUUGACGCUGAGGUGCGAAAGCGUGGGGAGCAAAC